This 252-nucleotide ribosomal RNA is filed under the name uncultured bacterium. RNAcentral's name for it is "partial 16S ribosomal RNA". It matches the Rfam family "Bacterial small subunit ribosomal RNA", at positions 796 to 1041 of the family's 1533-position model. The record is from RNAcentral.
CACGCCGUAAACGAUGUGCACUAGACUGGUGCGGUUUUGACGCCGUAUCAGUCGAAGUAAAAACGAUAAGUGCACCGCCUGGGGAGUACGGUCGCAAGGCUAAAACUCAAAGGAAUUGACGGGGGCUCACACAAGCGGUGGAGCAUGUUGCUUAAUUCGAGGCAACGCGAAGAACCUUACCUAGGCUUGACAUGCUUGGAUUAACUCCUUGAAAGAGGAGCCACACCCUCUGGGUGGAACAAGCACAGGUGC